CCUGAGUGGGAAAUGGAGCUCGCCGGACCCCGAGGCCACCCUGUAAGCAGGGUAGUGCCGUUUCCCUGCCCCUCUUCCUCCCCCGGCCCCUCGGCAUCGUUGCCUGAUGGUGGCUUGUCAACGCGACGGCCCCGUACUCGGGGUGUGUGUCCCAAGCUUUGGAGCCCUCUGUCCCUGAGCAGCCCGCCCGCCCUGUAAUCAGGUGUGGGGAGGCUGCAGCGUUGCAGCCGGCUGCUUUAGCCGUCCAGCUGGUGGGAGUGACCCCUCCCUGUCCCGUCAGAGGGUGCAGGUUGAGGUGCUGUUUGUGUGUGGGGUGACCUCCCCGCUCGGUGGGUCGAGGUAGCUCCCUGGGCUUCCAAAGACGAGGCGUUGGUGAUGUUCUGCUGCUGCCGGGCGGGCCAGCCUGUAACUCAGGCGUUGGCGGGAGCCUCGUGCUCCGCGGGGCUUCUUGAAGAGGGUGAGGUGUGGGGGUACCGUCCUGUAGGCAGGGCUGUGUGUGCCCCCCGUGUGUGCUCGGUGAGCUGUGUUCUGAGAGACCCCCUGUACUCAGGUGGGAAUGUGGCCCUGGCCUUUCAGAGGCGCGGGGCCGUGAGAUGCGGGGUGGGGCUUGCGCCCUCCCUGGAAUCGGGGCUGGGAUCCCGACUGCGGCCUUUGGCCGUGCCGCCCCGCUGCCUGGCUGCUGAGAGUUGCUCCUGCCGCUGGGGGGGAAACCGAGCUCUGUGGCUCCAGGGGUGUUGUCCACCCGCCUGUAAUCAGGGUCUGGGUGCGUGAGCGUUUGUGCUCUGCUGGCAGCCUGUGUGGGGUGACCGCCCCGCUAGCGGGGUGUGGGUCGAGGUGCCCCGGACUGGGAGAGAAGGAGCCUCCCUCGGCCGUAGGGAUGGGGGUCGCCCUGUAAGUCAGGGAGCAUCUGUGUCCCGGAGUCCCAGGCCCUUUUCAAUGGCGGCAGUGGCCGGGGGUCCCCUGUAAGCAGGGAAGCUGACUCUUUGGCUGCUGCUUUUUGUGUGCCCAGCCCCAUUUGCCCGGUCUGCCCGCCUCUGUGAUCCCCCGCAGCACUGGCUGGAAGUCCGCCG
This 1070-nucleotide long non-coding RNA is filed under the name Gallus gallus (chicken). RNAcentral describes it as "lncRNA (ENSGALG00010023352.1)". The record is from RNAcentral. Lineage: Eukaryota; Metazoa; Chordata; Aves; Galliformes; Phasianidae.